UUCCUCUACUUCAUACACAUGGAAAUCAAAGUUUGGAGAGGGAGUAAGAUCAUUGUAUUCAAUGGGCUUGAGGAUCAACCUGCAUAAUGGUUUGAUAUUUUUAUUUUAGAGAAGUGGAGUACAAACAAAUAUUAUGCAUAUGGAAGAUUACUAUUUAUUUAUGUUUUUUGUGAUUACCAUUUUCAGAAAAAAGUAAAAAGUAAAAAUAAAACAUCAUAGAUGUGGAUGAAUAAAAUUGUAUUUCAUUGAUGAUAAUAAG
RNAcentral lists this long non-coding RNA (259 nucleotides) under Lathyrus oleraceus (garden pea). Its description in RNAcentral is "Pisum sativum (pea) long non-coding RNA (PSAT_LNC023988)". Lineage: Eukaryota; Viridiplantae; Streptophyta; Magnoliopsida; Fabales; Fabaceae. The record is from RNAcentral.